UACGAAGGGGGCAAGCGUUGUUCGGAUUUACUGGGCGUAAAGCGUACGUAGGCGGAUAAUUAAGUCAGGGGUGAAAUCCCGGGGCUCAACCUCGGAACUGCCUUUGAUACUGGUUGUCUUGAGUCCGGGAGAGGUGAGUGGAACUCCUAGUGUAGAGGUGAAAUUCGUAGAUAUUAGGAAGAACACCAGUGGCGAAGGCGGCUCACUGGCCCGGAACUGACGCUGAUGUACGAAAGCGUGGGGAGCAAAC
This 250-nucleotide ribosomal RNA is filed under the name uncultured bacterium. Its description in RNAcentral is "partial 16S ribosomal RNA". It matches the Rfam family "Bacterial small subunit ribosomal RNA", at positions 524 to 773 of the family's 1533-position model. The record is from RNAcentral.